Molecule: non-coding RNA, 19 nt
Filed under: Rattus norvegicus (Norway rat)
Lineage: Eukaryota; Metazoa; Chordata; Mammalia; Rodentia; Muridae
Source: RNAcentral
UUGUGAUGUGCUCAGUGAC